GAUGGUAAAAAGCACAUUCUUAACCCUCUUUCUCCUUUUCAAGUGGGAGAGGAAUAUAGAAAAAUGGGAGAGUUGAAAGAAAAAAAGAGGAGAGUAAGGGAGUGAAAAAUGAUAAUUCAAAAGAAGGAAAAAGAGAGGUUGAGAGCUCAAGUGAGAAUGAAUUAUCACAAAAAAAAAAGAUAUGAGCAAGAAAAACAAAACAUCAAAGAAAAAGGAAAGAUGUGCAUGAUUUUGCAAAAUCAAG
This 244-nucleotide long non-coding RNA is filed under the name Solanum tuberosum (potato). RNAcentral's name for it is "long non-coding RNA (STUB_LNC004677)". The record is from RNAcentral. Lineage: Eukaryota; Viridiplantae; Streptophyta; Magnoliopsida; Solanales; Solanaceae.